GCUCAGGACGAACGCUGGCGGCGUGCCUAAUACAUGCAAGUAGAACGCUGAAGAGAGGAGCUUGCUCUUCUUGGAUGAGUUGCGAACGGGUGAGUAACGCGUAGGUAACCUGCCUUGUAGCGGGGGAUAACUAUUGGAAACGAUAGCUAAUACCGCAUAACAAUGGAUGACACAUGUCAUUUAUUUGAAAGGGGCAAAUGCUCCACUACAAGAUGGACCUGCGUUGUAUUAGCUAGUAGGUGAGGUAACGGCUCACCUAGGCGACGAUACAUAGCCGACCUGAGAGGGUGAUCGGCCACACUGGGACUGAGACACGGCCCAGACUCCUACGGGAGGCAGCAGUAGGGAAUCUUCGGCAAUGGGGGCAACCCUGACCGAGCAACGCCGCGUGAGUGAAGAAGGUUUUCGGAUCGUAAAGCUCUGUUGUAAGUCAAGAACGAGUGUGAGAGUGGAAAGUUCACACUGUGACGGUAGCUUACCAGAAAGGGACGGCUAACUACGUGCCAGCAGCCGCGGUAAUACGUAGGUCCCGAGCGUUGUCCGGAUUUAUUGGGCGUAAGGCGAGCGCAGGCGGUUUGAUAAGUCUGAAGUUAAAGGCUGUGGCUCAACCAUAGUUCGCUUUGGAAACUGUCAAACUUGAGUGCAGAAGGGGAGAGUGGAAUUCCAUGUGUAGCGGUGAAAUGCGUAGAUAUGUGGAGGAACACCGGUGGCGAAAGCGGCUCUCUGGUCUGUAACUGACGCUGAGGCUCGAAAGCGUGGGGAGCGAACAGGAUUAGAUACCCUGGUAGUCCACGCCGUAAACGAUGAGUGCUAGGUGUUGGAUCCUUUCCGGGAUUCAGUGCCGCAGCUAACGCAUUAAGCACUCCGCCUGGGGAGUACGACCGCAAGGUUGAAACUCAAAGGAAUUGACGGGGGCCCGCACAAGCGGUGGAGCAUGUGGUUUAAUUCGAAGCAACGCGAAGAACCUUACCAGGUCUUGACAUCCCGAUGCUAUUUCUAGAGAUAGAAAGUUACUUCGGUACAUCGGUGACAGGUGGUGCAUGGUUGUCGUCAGCUCGUGUCGUGAGAUGUUGGGUUAAGUCCCGCAACGAGCGCAACCCCCAUUGUUAGUUGCCAUCAUUCAGUUGGGCACUCUAGCGAGACUGCCGGUAAUAAACCGGAGGAAGGUGGGGAUGACGUCAAAUCAUCAUGCCCCUUAUGACCUGGGCUACACACGUGCUACAAUGGUUGGUACAACGAGUUGCGAGUCGGUGACGGCAAGCUAAUCUCUUAAAGCCAAUCUCAGUUCGGAUUGUAGGCUGCAACUCGCCUACAUGAAGUCGGAAUCGCUAGUAAUCGCGGAUCAGCACGCCGCGGUGAAUACGUUCCCGGGCCUUGUACACACCGCCCGUCACACCACGAGAGUUUGUAACACCCGAAGUCGGUGAGGUAACCUUUUGGAGCCAGCCGCCUAAGGUGGG
This 1460-nucleotide ribosomal RNA is filed under the name uncultured organism. Its description in RNAcentral is "SSU rRNA". It matches the Rfam family "Bacterial small subunit ribosomal RNA". The record is from RNAcentral.